This is a long non-coding RNA of Acyrthosiphon pisum (pea aphid), 724 nucleotides long. RefSeq lists it as uncharacterized. The transcript has 3 exons. The record is from RefSeq and is a predicted model, not a curated record. Lineage: Eukaryota; Metazoa; Arthropoda; Insecta; Hemiptera; Aphididae.
AGGUUCUCAACAACAUCCUGGUUUAAUUUCCUUGUUAAAAUAAAAGACAGCCCUCUUGCAUUUAAAUCGUUAAACAAAUUAACAAGUGAUGUAUUUGAGAUAGCUAUACCUAGAAACAUAAAAGGUUAAAUUAAAAAAUUGUAUAGAUUUAAAAAUAAUAUUUUUACCUUUUUGAAAUGGUAAAAGAUAAUUCUUUCCAUGAACUCUCAUAUUUGUAAUGAAAUUUGUCAUUUUUGUUAAUAAAUCAUUUUGUUUUUCUAAAUUUAGACCAUAACUUUCAGUUCCUUUAUCGAAUUUGUGUUGUGUAUUCAAUAAAUCAAACCAAUCAUUAAAAAGUCCAAUGACCUCAGAAGCCUAAUAAUAUUUGUACUUAUCAAUCAUAUGUUGUUGGCCACAGAACGAAAGUGCCUUUGACACUGUAUUAGAAAAUACAUUGACGGCUAACCUUACAUUCAUUCGUUCAGAUCCUUUGACAUUAAUGUGACGCUCUGUAUGUUAAACAGUUGUCAAAAAUGUUUUACCUCUAGCCACAACGGUUUGAACACACUUAUGCGGUCCAUACACUUUCUCAUACUUUUUGUCAUAGCAUAUUCUAUGAGAAACAUAAGUCUCGUCAAAUGAUAACACUGUAAUUUUCUCUUCAGAAGUUAAAUGGACACCUUUAACAUGUGGAUUUAUCAAUGUAAUGUAAUUUUUUAUUAAAUACAAUAUUCUCAUAAAUUAC